This is a long non-coding RNA of Vespa crabro (European hornet), 2784 nucleotides long. RefSeq lists it as uncharacterized. The transcript has 3 exons. The record is from RefSeq and is a predicted model, not a curated record. NCBI's taxonomy places the organism in Eukaryota, Metazoa, Arthropoda, Insecta, Hymenoptera, Vespidae.
CAUCGCCAUCGAGGAGAGUCGCGUAGGGAGUCUCUUCUCGGCGCGGGCGCAGCCGAGAGAUAAUUUAAUGAGCGAGGAAUCUGUAGUUUAGUCUACGGCCGUGAAGCCGUAGGACGCGACACAGGCCGAGCGAGCGAGCGAGAGAGAGAGAAGAGGAGACAAAGUGGUAGAAGAGGCGCACGCGAGUGGCACGCAAGCUGUAAUUACCGAUAUCGGCAGCGCGAUCGUUGGCAGAAACGCGCAUCGUCUUCGAGCGAGCUAGGAGAAAGGCGAAGAGACUUGUGAAGAAAGAGAAGAGAGGGAGGGAGAGAGAAAGAGAGAGAAGAGACGAUGGAGAGCGAGAGAUACAAGGAGGGAGGGUCGAAGGUUAUAGCGAAUAUACUCGCAGACAAGCACGCCGAGAUUUCUGCCCACCCCGACGCGCCUCUCUGUCGUCGCUUUAAGUCGCGGUUAAACUUUUAAUAACAGUUCCCAAGCACCGACGAUCAAAUAUUCCCCUACGCUCGCAUCUCUCGUCGAGCUUACAAAACAAAUUCGACUUUGCGAGUUCUCGUUUCCACUUUCAUUGCUCGAUGAAAUUUAUUUUUUAUUCUUAUCGUCGGAGGAAGAAAAAGGAAGUGAAAGUAAGCGAGGAGCAAAAGCGAAUAAUAGUAAACUUCUAAGCGAGCUCAUCGCUCUUAUUGUUAGAACGAGUCCGGAUCGCGACUUUAUAAGGCACGUAGGCAAACGUACCGCGGGCAUGCGCAUCCAUAUGGGUAGGUAGAUAUGACCAUAAACCAUAAAGAUUUCUCUCUCUCUCUCUCGCACGCGGUACCGCAACGUUCGCUUUGAAUCGCCCAUUGACCACCCACGCUGCCCGAAACGUCCUCCCUUAGCGUCUAUCUCUAUUUCUGUAUCUAUCUCGGGAAGAGGACGAUGAGUAGUAGUUUGAGUUUGCGACCUCGACCGUACCAUUACUACGAGAUCGGUCAAAUCUUUCAAAAAGAACGAAUUUAUUUAUUAUCAAUAUGCAAAAUUAGAAAGCUUUUAUUUUCUUUUUCCUCUUUCUUUUUUUUUCUUCUUUUUUUUUUUUUUUUGUUCACAGAUACGCAGAAGUAAAAGAGGAAAUUGGAGAUAAUAAAAAGUAGACCGUGCGAUGUUACUCGUUAAGUUUCGUUUCGCGCUGAAUAAAAUGCCGCGUGAAAAUGCCGGAAGAACGAAUUUAAUGAGGUAGAAAGAGAGAUAAGGCACGUAUCGUCGACUUUCGCGUAUUAGGGUUUAUUCGAACGAUAUAGCAGAUUAAAUUCGAGCCAAUUAAUUGGUUUUGCGCGUGUGACUAUCGCGAGGAUUCCAGCAUAGGUGAAGCUUUCCAAAGUUACUCGCCGUUUUCUACCAAAUUAACCUAAGCUUUUGAUGUAUGCUGAUAUUAGGAUUAUUAAAUAAAUUGAUGGUGAGAAUGCUCGACGUAAGAUGGUACGCGUUGAAAACGAUUUAUGCGCGCGAUCUGACGCGACUAGAAAAUAUAGAUAUAACUCCGUUUGUCUAUUAUACGAAGACGAUUAAUAGUAAAGAUCGACGCAAGAGCGAAAGGGGAAAUAGAUUCGAAUUGGUCGGUGAUACGAAGUCGAGCUUUCCACGAAAAUACUGGGAGGAUCAUGACCGAAAAGGAGACAGAGAGCUUCAUUUUCCAAAAUUAAAGUCGAAAGUUGGACAGUCCCGAUCGAGAGAUUUCGUCCAAUAUGUGGGCAGGAUUUGGGACAGCGGAGCCACUCGUAUUUCAGGCCGGUGAACAAUUUCAGGUCGGCGCUACUAUUGGAACGUCGCAUUUUGGAUUUCAUUUGCAGAGUCGUAAGUUUUCCCGAUUCCAUAAGAGCCAAGAAGGGGCCCUCCGGUUCGCCACUUUCUCUCUCCGCACCGCACCGGCCCGUUACGACUGCGGACGCGUUAUUGGGAGAGACCUGGUCAGCCGUAGUUCCGCGACUGGCUAAGAGUUAUGGACGCGUUAGAUAAAGCUGCUUCCACGUUAGUUCUCCUAAAAUGAGAGUGGGGAAAAAAGGAGAGAUAAAAGGCGCUCGCGCUAAAAGAGGAUCGAUCGAUGCGUUCGAGGAACACAUACGCGCUAAAAGGUCACAUUAGACUCGAUCCGGAUUCGAAGGAGAUCGCAUGAAUCGUUUAGAGAGGCACGCCUUGGACAGCGUUAUUGGUGCGAUGGUACCAUCCAUCGAGAAGGUAAAGGGGGAAGCAGGAUGUUGUUUGGAUGGCUCGUAAGCACGUAGAGUACGGCCGAGUAGGAGCUAGUAGGGCGAAUGAAAGAGAAGAAGGAAGAAGGAAGUGGCGAAAUACGCGAUAAAGCUGUGAAAAAGUACGAUAAAAGUGUACACCAUCGGACGAGGAAUACCCUAUCGAGGCUAGCGUAGAAUUUCACGCUGAGAAAGUUUCUCGCGCGAUUCGCGAGGGCAACCAUGAAAGCUCGUACCGUUUCGGAGCUCUCAGGAAUCUCGAAAUAUCGCUAAAGUAAGUAUCUCGUGCCCAGGGCGGUCGUUCGGAAUCGACGUACGCGUGAAAGAAUGCAACCCUGAACAACUACCAACUAUCCCGUGGAAAUACAUUAAAGGUGCGCUUUAGUUUGCGCGCUAGAAUUAACCGAAAAUUACUUUGUACUCGCUUCAAAUUUGAAAAGUUAUGUGGUUAUACUAUAUUCCUAGGUUAAAAGUUGAAAGUCCAUAAAUUCUAAGCAUUUUUGUUAUUGUCAGUCAAAAUCUUCUUGACCUUUAUACUUUUUUCUUACGAGAAUUUACGAAACUU